AGAAUCAACGCUGGCGGCGUGCCUAACACAUGCAAGUCGAACGCGAAAGGGGAGCAAUCCCUGAGUAGAGUGGCAAACGGGUGAGUAACACGUGGGUGACCUGCCUUCGAGUGGGGGAUAACGUUCCGAAAGGAACGCUAAUACCGCAUGACACCCUGCUUUUGGAGAAGCGGAGAUCAAAGCUGGGGAUUCGCAAGAACCUAGCGCUUGAAGAGGGGCCCGCGCCUGAUUAGCUAGUUGGUGGGUAACGGCUCACCAAGGCUACGAUCA
Molecule: ribosomal RNA, 270 nt
Filed under: uncultured soil bacterium
Lineage: Bacteria
Description: partial 16S ribosomal RNA
Rfam family: Bacterial small subunit ribosomal RNA
Source: RNAcentral